RNAcentral lists this long non-coding RNA (3706 nucleotides) under Capsella rubella. Its description in RNAcentral is "long non-coding RNA (CRUB_LNC003000)". The record is from RNAcentral. Lineage: Eukaryota; Viridiplantae; Streptophyta; Magnoliopsida; Brassicales; Brassicaceae.
CAGCGGAAGACUUAACCAAAAAUCCAAUAAUACGAUUCCAUUAAACCAACAAGUUCAACCAAACAUUAUUCCAAAACAUGAUCCUCCUAACAUGUUUCUAAAUUCCAUUCUAACACCCUAACAAAUCCAACAAUAAUCUAAAACACCAAUGAGUGCCUAGAUCAUCCUCCUCUCCUCGCCAUGAUUCCACGGAUCACACUUUGCUUUUACCUGCAUCAAAGAAAGAGAUGCAUAAGUAUUUCAUAAAUACUUAGUGAGGGCGAUCCUCCCAUCUACGAGCUAUACACACAAGCAAUGAGAUAACACCCACAUAUAUAACAAAAACAAACCAUCCAGCAAGCUAAACAUCCAAUAACACAUCCAGUUCACCUACAAAUCAUCACACAACAAGUCACUCAAUCCCAAUCGCUUAGAUAAGCUCAUGGUCACGCACUCACCUUAACAAGGUGAUUUGAGUUACAAAAACAACCAGGAAAUACUCUCUUCGUGACUGCAACAGCCAAACAACGCCCUACAACAAACCACACAAACACAAAUCUCUAAGAACCAAAAGGACAGAAACAUCAAAAAAACUACAGCCGCAGAAACGAAGCCCUAAAACAUAAACUAACCGUUAACUUCUUAAUCCCUACGGUGAAAAGCAAGAUACAGACGUCACGAAGCCCCCUACAAAAUUUGGUGCCGAUCGGAGAAACGAUGAAUCCACGAUCGCACUUACAAACUCCGCUGAUCCCAGUUCGCAACAGAGAAAACGCGUCUCACCAAACUGCAUAUAACUCACUGAGUAUUAAUCCAAAUUCACUUCUGUAAAAAGGAGAAUCAACGUACACGCCUUAAGAACAAACCUACCAAAAUUCAUUACCNNNNNNNNNNNNNNNNNNNNNNNNNNNNNNNNNNNNNNNNNNNNNNNNNNNNNNNNNNNNNNNNNNNNNNNNNNNNNNNNNNNNNNNNNNNNNNNNNNNNUUCGAUAAGAUUUGAUACGUCGUAACUCUAUUCUACCAGAACGUGACGGAUCUGCUUCUCUUGCCUUAAACACCAAAGCAAAGCUAACACUCUCCUUUUCACAAGUAAACUUCUCAUUUUCCUUUUCUCAACUCAACUCUCAGAAACAACAGCCACAAAACAAGAGAGAGAAGAAGCAUUCUUUAUAAAACUAGGGUUUUUGGUUUAAUUCUGAUUAAACCAGAAUUUACCUAAACCGACUUUAAUUAAACCUCUUUUGGUUCAAUUAAACAAAUCGACCAGUUUAGGAAAUCAACCGGAAUUAAACCGAUUCCACCCUAAUUCUUAUACACAUUCAAGUCUCAUAUUAAUUUUCAGAACACGGGCGUUACAAUUCUCCCCCACUAACAUGGAUUCGUCCUCGAAUCCUUCAACACCGUCCACCAGUUGGACUCCGUGCAACCGUCCCAAACGAUCUGCACUCCCACAACUGACUCCUCUGAGGCUCCUAUCUAAUCCAUAUACUCACGUUCCAGACCCUAUUUGCUCAUACUCACCCACUUCCCCCGUCCACAGGUCGCAACCCAUGAAUCAUACCGGCUCGUCCUCAGGCCUCUGCCUUAGACUACGGUAUCCAGGAAGUCUCACCACUCCCCCCGCUAUCAGGUCGCAACCCUCAAGUCAUACCGGCUCACUAUUAGGCCACCCGCCUUCUAGCUACGGUAUCCGGGAAGUCUCACGCUCGCUCUCGGGUCGUCACCCUCAAAUGUGCACUCGAAUCGUCAUCCGAAGCCAUCACAUCAUAUCCGAGCAAAUAAGUCUAAACGCCCCCGAGCAUAUCUCUCGAUUAGAUAUACCUCCCGUGGUCCACUUAUAGCAUCGCAAUGCUAUACUAACCACCACCCCGAGACUUUCCAAAAAUAGAACCGUCAAACCCGACACUUUCUAUUUUUAGAAACUCGCACAUAUUUCUCUUACACAUGACACAACAAGUCAAAUCAAGAAAUACUCACAUAGUCCAAGUACAACAUCACAAUGUCAUACCUACCAAACAAUAUUCCCACCUGGAAUAUCAUCUCUACCAUGACCAUUCUUCAAGUCAACUCCCAAACAAUCCCGUCACUCAGAGUAUUACAUAAUAGUCUCCAACUUAACUUCUCGGAAAUCCAUUUCCAACAAAACACCACCGAAGACCCGCGCUCCAGACUACAACCACCACAACCACAUAACUACUUCGAGCACCACGCUCGCAACCUCUAGCCUCCCACACUGCCACGAGCAGAAACUAGGAAAACAGAUGACUAGAGAAAAGAUAAAACAUCACAACUUACCGUGGAAUCUCAUUGAAGGCUCGAGAGGAUGAUCUAGGUCUCCAUGCUCACACAACUGAUUAAACACACAAAUCAAUCAGCAUGCAAUCCACAUCAUCAUUUUCCAUCAACGAAAUUCACACAUCACAUAAAAAAUAACCAAUUUACUCCCGCCCUAGAACCGUAAGGGCUCUGAUACCAAAUUGAAAGAACCCAUCCCAUUUUUUUUUCUUUUAAACAUGCAAACCGGAUUAACCCAAUUAAUUCGAACCAGCUAAACCGGCCAUAAUAAUUUAAAUCAAUUAAACCAAGCAAUCUCAUUAAAGUAAACCAACAAUAUUAUCCAGCGGAAGACUUAACCAAAAAUCCAAUAAUACGAUUCCAUUAAACCAACAAGUUCAACCAAACAUUAUUCCAAAACAUGAUCCUCCUAACAUGUUUCUAAAUUCCAUUCUAACACCCUAAUAAAUCCAACAAUAAUCUAAAACACCAAUGAGUGCCUAGAUCAUCCUCCUCUCCUCGCCAUGAUUCCACGGAUCACACUUUGCUUUUACCUGCAUCAAAGAAAGAGAUGCAUAAGUAUUUCAUAAAUACUUAGUGAGGGCGAUCCUACCAUCUACGAGCUAUACACACAAGCAAUGAGAUAACACCCACAUAUAUAACAAAAACAAACCAUCCAGCAAGCUAAACAUCCAAUAACACAUCCAGUUCACCUACAAAUCAUCACACAACAAGUCACUCAAUCCCAAUCGCUUAGAUAAGCUCAUGGUCACGCACUCACCUUAACAAGGUGAUUUGAGUUACAAAAACAACCAGGAAAUACUCUCUUCGUGACUGCAACAGCCAAACAACGCCCUACAACAAACCACACAAACACAAAUCUCUAAGAACCAAAAGGACAGAAACAUCAAAAAAACUACAGCCGCAGAAACGAAGCCCUAAAACAUAAACUAACCGUUAACUUCUUAAUCCCUACGGUGAAAAGCAAGAUACAGACGUCACGAAGCCCCCUACAAAAUUUGGUGCCGAUCGGAGAAACGAUGAAUCCACGAUCGCACUUACAAACUCCGCUGAUCCCAGUUCGCAACAGAGAAAACGCGUCUCACCAAACUGCAUAUAACUCACUGAGUAUUAAUCCAAAUUCACUUCUGUAAAAAGGAGAAUCAACGUACACGCCUUAAGAACAAACCUACCAAAAUUAAUUACCUUUCGAUAAGAUUUGAUACGUCGUAAAUCUAUUCUACCAGAACGUGACGGAUCUGCUUCUCUUGCCUUAAACACCAAAGCAAAGCUAACACUCUCCUUUUCACAAGUAAACUUCUCCUUUUCAUUUUCUCAACUCAACUCUCAGAAACAACAGCCACAAAACAAGAGAGAGAAGAAGCGUUCUUUAUAAAACUAGGGUUUUUGGUUUAAUUCUGAUUAAACCAGAAUUUACCUAAACCGACUUUAAU